This 253-nucleotide ribosomal RNA is filed under the name uncultured bacterium. RNAcentral describes it as "partial 16S ribosomal RNA". It matches the Rfam family "Bacterial small subunit ribosomal RNA", at positions 524 to 776 of the family's 1533-position model. The record is from RNAcentral.
UACGUAGGUGGCAAGCGUUGUCCGGAAUUAUUGGGCGUAAAGCGCGCGCAGGCGGUCCUUUAAGUCUGAUGUGAAAUCCCACGGCUUAACCGUGGAACUGCUUGGUAUACUGGCGAUCUUGAGCCACUUAGGGGCAACCGGAACAAACGGUGGAGCGGUGAAAUGCGUAGAUAUCGUUUGGAACGCCAAUGGUGAAAACAGGUUGCUGGGAGUGUGCUGACGCUGAGACACGAAAGCCAGGGGAGCGAACGGG